GGAAGAUGACGCCACGCAGCGGCUCCCACUGAGGCGACGCCUGCGGAGCACGUCAUCUCAGCUACGCGGAAGACCGCGCUGUGGAGUCGCGGCCGGGAAGGCCUUGCCCUGCCGCCGGACUUUGGGCGGCACAGACUUGCUUAGAGCGCCUCAGGGAAGGCUGGUCUGGCUACAUCAGGCCCCCCGCUGACCAACGGGUGGUUCUGGAUCUGCGCGUCCGCGCCUGAGCUUUAUCAACCUUCUUUGCAGCUUAACUUUACUGAUCCUUACUGUCAGCUUAUGGAAACAAAUUGCAAGUGCCUUCUUGAUCCACACUUAAAAUCACACUCUCAGCGGAAUGAUAUGCCGAGAACACUGAGGAGCGUUGGGUUCAUGACCAGCAAUAAUAAAUCUCACUGAAGAGUUUCAGGAGUAUUGGCAUUAAAUCUUCUCUAAAUUUCUUGGAGAAUUCCUCUAUGAAUCCAUGAAGACCUGGGCUUUGCUAUGCUAAGUUCACCACUGUCAAUUUCCUGCUGAGGACUGCUUUCAUUGCAUCUUAUAAAUACCAACAAUAGACCUAUCAAUAUCAUUGUCAAGUAAAAGCCAGAUGAAGAUUCUUUCUAGCUCUAAACAGUCCUUUCCUUUCUAGGUACUCAAAUUUGCAAAAGCAGCAAAACCUGAUAUUACUAAAGUGGAACUAUUAUAAGAUGUACAAGACAAAAUUGUUGAUUGGCAGCUCCUGAUACUGAUCAACAAGUCAGAAAAUAAAGUAGAAGUGAAGCAUGCUUCAGAUGAAAAUAAAGAAGGCUUUCA
Octodon degus (degu) is the source of this 792-nucleotide RNA transcript. It is a transcript of the gene named fibrous sheath-interacting protein 2-like, with no coding region annotated. The transcript is spliced from 7 exons. The record is from RefSeq and is a predicted model, not a curated record. Lineage: Eukaryota; Metazoa; Chordata; Mammalia; Rodentia; Octodontidae.